AUGAAUUUCAAGAUUGGUGUGAUCAAGUGAGCCACCAUCUUGAGGGUGCCUGUUAAGGUAUUAUAUCCCACAUCGAAUGAUGAUGGAAAAAAUUUCAAUUUAUAAAGGAUUGGACUUCUCCACUUAAUAAGGUUGACCUUAUUAAGAUGGACCCCAAACUUUAAAAUUGUUACAAUUUAUUGAAUCUGAAACAAUUGAUUAAACUCCAUUAAUGGAGAACAAAUACACUCCAUGAAAGGAGGCACAAUCAACUCCUUUAUGGAGGAAGAAAACUCCAUGAAAGGAGAACAUUAAACUCUCCAUAAAAGGAGGAAUGGAAACUCCAUAAUAGGAGAAAAUGAAACCUCCAUAAGGAAGGAUUGUAAGACUAUACUCCAAUGAGUUAACAAUGCAUACAAGUGCUCUAUUUAUAGAGCAAAACUAACUAAGGAGGCAAUACGUAUGGAAGAAGAAGUCUCUAGAAUCUGCAUGCUGAACUGGAGGGAAUAUUUUGGUGGAAUCUGGUUAUGCACACUACACACGUGAAGUUAACUGGAAGUGAUGAAUGUUUGGUUCCAACACACCCCCUCAAGAUGGACUUGGAUCCAUCUUGAAGAUGAGUUGUGAAUCAUCAACCAUGUAACAACAACAACAUAUUGAAGUUCAAGUAGAUGUUAUUACUCCAGAUCCUUCAAGUGGUAAGGCUGGUUUACAGAUCCAAGUGUUCCACGCAUUUCAGUUGGAGAGAUCUCAGAUAUAUUAAGUGGCAGUAUCUCAGAUGAUAUAGAAUCUCCACCUCCACUGCACGUAUUAGACUCUGAGGAGAGGGCAGAUCUUGGAUCGAAGAAAUUGAGCCACAACACUCAUGACUCUCAUAAAGUAUUUGCAGAAGAGUAGCUUUGUCGAACAUUUCAUCAAGCACCUUGUGUGCAUACAAGAACUUCUAAUUUUCUCUGAUAGAUGUUUAGAUCUUCCACAGCACCAAGAACUCCUGAGUCAUAUGUGAACCAAAUAGAAAGUAUUUCAAUAGAAGAUAUCAUCAGAUCAAAUGAGUGAACAACUAGGGGGAAGCAAAAUGAAGCCAGACAGAUCUUCGAGUUUGCUGUGUUCUGCCAUUUUUCUACCUAAUAUCAUUGCACAGAUCAUUGAACCAGACUUCCAAACAAAUCAGCAAUUACAGCAGGAUUACGAGGAUCAUCUUCAGGAAUUCCCUGCUCUUGUAUCCUCCAAGGAAUUCAAUUGUGCAUUCAGCUCUGUAUCAGCAAGAGCAUCGAGAUUUCUUCAACCUGAUGUCCAGUGGCAAAUGGACUAAAUUCUGAAUUCUGGUUGAAAUUGUCAGCUCAACGAUUUUAUAGAAUCCAGAAGAAAACGAAGAGAAUUGCAAAAAAAAAAUGAGGCAGACAGAUCUGGAGAAGAGCUGGAAAUUAUUCACUAAAUGAAUAUUAGAUCAAGCAACAGAUUUAUUGAAUCUGUGAAGAGAUGAAGGACACUGAAGAGAUCGCCGGCGGUACCAAUGCUACAUUUCCGGCUAAUUCACCACAUCGUGAAGAUCUCCGGCCUCGGCUUCUCUGGUUGCCUCAAGGACUGUACGGACCUGGCCCAUAGAGUCUCCCUCUUAACUCAUUUGCCUGAAGAAAUUGGGGAUUCGAAGAAAACCCAUAAAUAUCAUGAAACUUCUUUAAAUUCUUGCUUCUCUGAUCUCUCACUGGCUCUCCAGGCUGCUAUAAGGCGGGGUAGUUUUUAUAUUGGCUGAAUUAUUGAGCCUAUUUUACACAACAGCCUUUCCUAUUGAAAAUACUAUUUUACCCUUACUAAAAUUAUUUGCAAGAUGUAUCUUAUAUCUUUAAGGAUUUAACAAUCAGGACCUAUAUCUAUAUUUUUCAAUCUUUUGAGCACCUUUAAAUAUUCUUUAUAUUUUAAUAGUUUUUCAAAGAUUAUAGGUUGACCUUUCUUGAUUAUAUAUCCUUUAAAUAAUCCUUCUAAAAUUUCUUCUUAUAUAUUUCUAUGUUUGGUUAUAAUAUCUUCUACCUUUCUUAUUUCUCUACUAGUUCUUACAGAAUCAAAUCCUAUAUUACUUCUACAAUUAUAAUCUAUAUCUCUAUAUAUUUCUUCAAUUUUUUCUUUACCUACAGGAAAUAUAUCAUCAGAUUUUUCAUCUAGUUUGAGUAGGAACGAAACAUCUUUUUCAUCUAAAAAUAAAAUAAGAUUAUUAUCAUCCUUAGUAGUGGAAGUAGAUGCAUGUGAAUUGUUCAUCAAAAUAAUUAAAGCAUGAGCAUGUAAAAACAAGUAAAUAACUUAUAGUAAUCAAGUGGAAAUAAACAGGAUUUCCCUCCAAUAUGUUCUUAUAGAUGCUUUGUGAUAAGUGCGUUUUUACACACUUAUUUGGUCCAUAAAACAUGACUAAUUGUUGAUAAAAGUGUUUGAAUAUGACUUAAUUCUAUAUAAUUUCGUUUUGUAGGACAAUGUUGAUGACCAUGGCGAAAUUCAAGAGAAAAUGAACGAAAAAAGGACCAAAACGGGAGAAAAUGACAGGGAGUAAAAUGCAUCACUUGAAUGAAUUGAGGACUUGGAUGAUAAAUAUUGCAUUGGAAUUUAAAAUGGGUCUUGAAUAACAGCAAAAGAAGCUGCCGAAUGGAGGAGAGAAAAUAAAAUAUAUUGGGCCUUAGUUUGGACUCUAUUUGGUAUCAACUUUGGACUCCUAAUUUGUUUACAAGACUACAAAAGGGCUUAAUUGUUUGGUAUAUAUAUGAUACACACGUACAGAUUGAAAAGGCAGCCGUGGGGGAGAUAAUUGGAAUCCCUUCUGGGGAUUAUUCAUAUACGCACGUCGGCGGCUCAAGGCUGGGAAUUAAUUGUAUAUAUACAUACAGAAAGCCGAAAUCAGAUUGGUGAAGCCGGGGCUGAGUUGAAUAUAUUAUAUAUAGGCAGAAAAACGGCAAGUUGGAGGCCGAGAACUGAGUGCGGAAUUGAUAAAAUUUGAGUGGGCUGAAAAGUCGACUUAUAUACGUACAUAAUUCCCACAAAUCGGCCAGCUGCUGGGAAGGAAUUGAAGCAUACAUAUACAAACAAAAGGCAGCAGCUGAGAAUUAAUUGAGACUACAAAAGGCGGCUGCAAGGUGGAAAUAAAUAUACAUAAGGAACUGAAACCAAGCUGUGAGGAAAUUAAGGACAAAUCGACUGCCGGAAUUGGAAUUUUCAAUUGGAUAAUAGAAUUGGCGGCUGCAAAUUACAUAUUCAUAUUAUUUACACACGGCAAAGACGCGAAAAGAGAGACGGACAACAAGCUGUUGAAGGAAUAAUUUCAGAUUGCCUUUGGAAGGAAUUUGGAUGUUGAUCGCGUUCCGUCAAUUUUUGGUGAUUUCGUUCCACUUGUAUUUAUUUAAUUCCACCAUUAUGCUCAGGUAGACUUGUUCGUGCUAGGAAAACGAUGAACUUUGUUAUAUGAAUUUUUAAUCUCUAGUUUACGUUUUUGACAUUAAAACAUGCGUUUGGAAUUUGAAUGAUUUAUAUGCACUUAUUUUCUCCGCAAUUAUCGUGCACGUAAUUUGUGUGAGUUUGGUGACUUGUUCUUGCAUUCGAGAGAAGUGGAAUAGGUUCGACAGGGUAUAAAUCAUUGUAGGGUCCGAUAGGGGAUAGAGAUAUACCGCUAUGCCUUGCGUGAGUCUUUAAGUGUUCACAAAACCACAUGCAUUUUUAUAUAUGCACUUGUCAUAGAAAUAUAGACCGGUGGUAUGUAAAAAUAGGUUCGAUACAUCUCGAGAGAGAGUGUUGGAUAGAUUUAGGAACAUUGAUUCUUCAAAAUCUAACCGUGUCGUCAAAUUGUAAAACUAAGGUUAAAAAUGAUUAUUUCAUAGGGAUUCGCUACCCUAGUACAUUCGUCAUUCAUUUAUUACGUUAAACUUGCAUUCAAAACGUCACAAUGUAUUUUAGUUUAUUUAAUUCUCAUACAUUUGCAUCCGUAAUUUAGAGUAGGUUUAAUUACAUUGCAAAAAUCACAUUUGACAUUCUUGUUUCGGUUAAGGUCGGGAUAAGUAAAAUUGAACUAACCAAUCUCUGUGGGACGAUACUCGGACUCAAUUGAUCCACUUUAUUACUUGUUAACGAACCGUACACUUGCGGUAAUUUAAAUCGAAAGAAAUAUUUUGCGAACACUUUGUAUGUACUUAAUCAAUUUUCUGAAUCAAGUAAAAAUUUAAAAUGUUUUUGAAAUCAUUUGAGUCCACAACUGCUUCCGCAAAAGGUUUUUCAAUUAAGGUUGCAUUUCUCAUUCUAGAUAACUGGCCGUGUUUCCACAGACGUUAUCUCACAGUAUCCAGAGUUUCUGUUUUCACCUCUAUCCAAACUCUUUUCAGAAUCAAGUUCCUACUUGGAAGGAAAUUUUAAAAGAUAACUCACACACAAGGUGCUACAAAUUUUGUUAGAAAACUGCAUUUUUCCCCUAAACCAUUCUUAAAAAAUGGAUACUUUGGCACGACUAACAUCCAUUCAAAAUCAAUGUUUUGAAAAUAUUUUUAAAAUCUCUAUCUGUACUGUCGAGGAAUCAUGAGAAAUUUAACGAAAUCCUUUUAUAAAAGCUUUGUUGAACAUAACAAACUUUAUUUUGAUAUUCAUAAACUGAAAUUGUACGUGCUUACAAACUAUAUUUACAUACUUUCGGUACUCACCUUAUGAAGUUUAGAACUCCAUAAGUGAUUACCUUAUUACACGCUUUCCUAUCUUCAAGCUAUCUAAUCUAUUUUUCUGAAUACAAGUGGUGUAUACAGUUUACAAAAGAUUUCUCUCAGAUAUGUUUAAGAGAUAAGCUAUUUCGAGAUCUCUUCUUUCUUCCUUCAUACCCCCUUUUAUAGGAGAUUUUGGAAUCUUAUCUUGGACAGGUGUUUUCCACCUUUCUUUGUUGGAUAGCUAGGUCAUCUUAUCUCCACCGAAUUCUUCAUUGUCUUCUUGUUGGGUGGACCUCUUCUCUUGAAAUUAGAUGCCUUAUCUUUUGAGUUUAUCUGCCACUUGUAACCAUUGGUGGGGAGUAAUUACAAUUAUAGAGACUUUUCUUGUACUAUCUUCUGUCUUCUAGUAGCCACAGUUUUUCUUUAAUAAAUUUCUUUAUUAAAGUAGUGAUAAAUGGCUACUUUAGUCACCAUCACUUUUCCAUUUUUGAAUCAAAGAAUUCUUUUAACAGCUUUCCUAAUGUUGGCUGGAAGCUGAGCUAUCUCUUUGAGAUAUUUGCGAGGAUAUAUACAAAGUAUAUUUCCUAUUUCAAAGCAAUUUCGAACCCAGUUGGCUGGUGCUCCUGGAUAAAAUUUUAUUUUGUUGUAUUUUGAAUAAUGGAGAGUCUUCAUCCAUUUUCCAAUCUCCAGAUACCAAUCUGAUAAAAUAUUAAAAAUAACAAUAAAGAGUGUUACUUCUUCAUGGUUAUCUCUUCUAGAAAAUUUUGCUUCAUAACAUAUUUUGACAAUAUCUUUUGGAUCUAUCCUUUCAAUAGAAAGUUUAGAUUAAGUUUGGCUCUGUGAAGAGCUACCUUCUCUUUUGAUAUCUUGAAUAUCUUUAUUACCAGUAAUAGGUUUGAGUAUUCCCUGUGAAGGGGUUCCUAUUACCUACUUUUUUUCCCUUUAUCCUUGGGGAGAGCGCUAGUAUUCACAAGUCCCUGCGAAGGGAUACUAGUCUUGGUACAAGUAACUUCUGCCUCAAGGGCUAUAUUUUUGCCUUGAAGGCUAUCUUGGAUAUUUUGAAUUUGGGUUUCCAAAUAGAAAACUUUUAUCUCAAGUAUUUGGACUUUCGUCCUUAGUUGUUCUAGCUCCAUCCCUACUAAGAUAAUCAGGAAGAAAGUUAACUUUUCCUUUAAUAUAUUCAAUAUCAAAUUUGAAGUAUGAGAACCAAAUUUGUAUUCUAAUAAUAUAUCUAUUGGUAAUAGAUGGAUCAACAUUAUUUUUCAAAAAUGCUUUAACUUGAGUAUUGUCAGUUCUGAUCAAGAACUUCUUUGGUAAUAAAUAAUCUUCAUAUUUUUGAACUCCUCUUUUUACAGUAAUGAGUUCUUUUCUGUUCGUCUCAUAUCUUGUUUCAACUUCUUUGAAUGUUCCUGAUGUAUAACCUACAAGUAUUUCAGGGCAAAAACAAUAUUUUUCACAUUUAUAUCCUUUAUGAUUCUUUUUUAUUUUUAAGACUGCUCCCCAGUAAUAAUCUGAAGCAUCAGUUUCAAGAAUAAAGAAAUUUUCUUCUUGUGGAAUUACAAGUUUGUGUAAUACUUUUAACUCUUCUUUAACUUUUCUUAUAUUCUCAGAAUCUUGUUCUUCCCAAGACCACAUUAUGUUUUUUCUUAACUUUGGAAGAAAAUAAUUUUUUAAUUUGGCACAAUUUUCAAUGAAUCUUUCAGCAUAAUUUAAUAUACCAAGGAAGCUUUGUAAUUAUUUUUCAUCUUUGAUUUUUUCAGGAAAUUCUUGAAUUUUUUCUCCAAUAUGCGAUUGCAAUUACAAUUCUCCUUCUUUGAUAAAUAAUCCCAAAAACUCUAUUUCUGUUUUGGCUAUCUCAGUUUUCUUUUGAGAAAGUGUAAUACCAUGUUUUUUCAUAAUAUAACAGAAUUUCUCAAGAUGUUUAAUAUGUUCAUCAAUAUUAUUUGAAUGAAUUAAUAAAUCAUCAACAUAUACAAUACAGAAAUGAGUAAUUGGUUUUAUUACCUCAUCCGUUCUUCUUUGGAAUAUCUGUGGUGCAUUUUUCAACCCAAAUGGCAUUACAUUCCAUUCGUAUUGUCCUAAAGGAUUGGGGGUACUAAAUGCAGUUAGUGGUUUACUUUCUUCUGUAAGCAUGAUUUGCCAAAAUCCUGACUUGCAAUCAAAUUUUGAAAAUAUAUUUUUAUUCUGUAUUUGCUUAAUAAGGGUCUCCUUAUUUGGCAAGUAGUAUCCAUCAAAUUUAGUAACUUCAUUUAAUUUCUUGUAGUUUAUCACCAUUCUGGCUUUUCCUCUUUUUAUCUCACUAUGUUUUCUAACCAUAAAAGUUGGGCUGCUAUGUGGGCUUUUGCUAGGCCUAAUCAAUCUGGCUUCUAACAAUUCUUUUAUCUGAUUUUUAAAUUCUUUUUGAUCAUCAACACUAUAUUUCAUAGGUUUGACUCUUACUAUAGUGUCUGGAUUGAUUAAUUCUAUUUUUGCAUUUACUUUGUCUGUAUUCCAUUUUUCUAAUGGAUUUUCAGAAUAUGUUUCAGAAAUUUCUUUUUUCAAUUUUUCCAACCUAUUUUCUGUUGUCAUUUUUAAGACUGUAAUUGGUUUAAAUUUUUCUGUACUCUAACAUCCACCACGCUGGGUUGAGGAACUCUGAUGGCUUAUAUCCCUAUAUGCAAUUGUAACAGCUUUAUUAAUUUUUGGUGUAAAUAUUUUAUGUACACAAGGUGUUGUGAACAUAUACUUAUCAGUAUAUUGUGUAAAUGAUGCAUAUUUUAAUAGAAAAUUUUGUCCUAAUAAAAUAUCGCAUUCAAUUGUAGUUGACAUAUAUAUUGUAUCAACAAAUACUUCUCUAAAGUAAAUUAGAAAAGGUACUUGCGUAGCAUACUUGCUGUAUAUUACCUUAUUUCCACCUGCUGUUGUAGCAGUGACUAUCUUUUUUGAAUUGUAUUUUCAGUAUUCAGAUGGUAGUACAUUUGGUAAGCAUAAACUUAUUGUACUUCCUGUAUCUAAGUAAGCAUGAAAUUUAAUUCUACAAUAGCUUUUUAUAUUGAGAGUAAUUUCAAUAUAUGGACUCAUGGGAUUUGUACUUAUUAUUCUUUCCAUGAUAAUAAUGAUUUCAUAUUUUCAUCUAUUCUUGGUAUGAUGAUUGGGUUAUCAUCAACUGUUAUUUUUAAAUAUCCUUGACAAAUUUUAUAAGGACUAUAUUUCUCAAGAAAGUUCAUUCCUAAUAGAAUAGGUGAACGAUCUACUCCAUAUAACUCAUCUUUAUAUGUAGUUAUUUCUUUAAUACAUUCUUUCUGAUCCUCUCCUACAAGUAUAAGAGGAAAUUUGACAUAUUUUCUUAUUUCAAGAUUAUUUCCCAAAUAAUCCUUAAAUAUAUAUGGUUCUGGUAUUUCAAAGUCUAUUAAAUGAUUAACAAACUUGGCAUUUACAUGGCUUUUAUCUGCUCCAAUAUCUAUGAGGACAAGAAGAUUUUUCUUAAACCCUUCUUGGUUUACAUAUCUUGUAUUAAUGUAAUAUUGUGAACUUGAUGGUUCAACAAUGCUUAAAUUCUUAAGCCUGCUUAUCCUAGAAUCUUGUCUAGAGGGAAAUCUUGCAAUAAGAUUGUCUCCUUCUAAGCUGACACUAUUUCUUCUUAUUAAUUUUCCUUCAGAAUUAAUUUCUUUUGCUUGUUUAUGAAAAUCAAGCAUUAUUUGUUCUGGUAUAGUAACUUCAUGUUCUUGAUAUUUCCUAGGAGCUAUAUAUUGUGCUAAUUCCUCAAAAUCUUUAUGUAAGAUAAUGUUAUCAUUUAUCUUUCUUAGAUUAUUAUGAUGGCUAGUACUAAAAGCAAAAAUUGAUUUUAUGCUUAUACUAAUAGCGUUAUUUCUUCGUAACAUUUUCAAGUUUCCAAUUCUAUAGUAUAGAUUGAAACUUUGGUCAAUAUUUUCAUCAUUUAAAGAUAUUGCAUAAUUUGAUUUUACUGUAAAUAUUAUCUUCUGAUAGACUAAGUUUCCUACAACUGUUCCGAAUAAAGCAUCUAUAGGAUCAUGUAGUAUUCUAUUGUCCAUAUAGUAGAUUUCUAUUGGUAUAUUCAUUCCUUCUCUAAAGAAUCCUUUUACCAUUAUCUGGACUCCUCCUAAUUCAAUACAUUUUAAUUUAUUUCUUACAUUCUCUGGGAUUUUGGAUAGCUUUUGUUUUACCUAUUCUUUUGUUAUUAUAGGAAUUUUUGCUUUUCCUAUAGUGUCUUCUAUAUUGAUAGACAUUUCUUUAUAAUUCAUACUUACAAUUAUUUUAUUUACUCUUGGUAAAAUUCCUAAGAAUUCUUGAUGGAAUACAUCUUUUUCUUGUAGAUCUAAUAUUUUUUUAGUAAUUCUUGCGUAUUUUUUAAUAUCAAAGGUAAUUUCUUGAUUAAUACCUUCUAUAGAAUCUUCAACUUCUUCAAUUGUUUCAAUUUCAAUUUCUGAUUGUUGUAUCUCCUGAUUCAUAUAUACUAUUUCCUCAUAAUCUUCCUCUGAUGAGGAUGUAUCUAAUUCAUAAAUACUACUGCAUUCACUACUUAGAUCUUCAAAGUAUUCAAUUGGUUCUAUUUCACUAUCUUCUUGAAAUUUUUCAUAGAUUCUAAGAGUUUUUAUAUUUUGUCUAUCUUUCUUUUUAGGACAUUGAGGGGUAAUGUGCCCUUUUUCAUUACAAAUAAAAUAUCUACAUUUUUUAAUGUUUUUUGGUUUAAAUUUCUUAUUCCAAUUUCUUUUCUUGAAAUAUUUUUUAUGUGGUUUAAAAUUCCUUUUAUUGAAUUUUUUAUAAUUUUUGAAUUUUCUUUUAUAUUUCUUAUAUUGUUUAUAUUUCUUCUUAUGGCAUCCAAAUUGUUCAACUUGGUCAUUAUCUUUAUAACAACAUAAUGAAUUCUUUCUUAUUUUAUAAGCUUUCUUAUUUUCUAGUGCUUCUUUGCACCACAUACCUAUCAUUCUUCUUGUAAAUUCAAUUCUACUUCUAAGACUGUCUAUUUUAACUCCUUCCUCUUCCCCUAGAGGUAAUAAUUUCUCAUAUUCUUUUAAUAGCUUGAUCCCCCAUGGGAAUGGUAAUUUUGUAAAAUAAGAUCUUAAUAUAGGUUUAUUUUCUUGAUAAUCUCCUUGAUUAAGUAUAUAGUAUAAUUCUUCAAAUUUACAUGUAUAUCUUUCUAAUUCACACAUAUCACAUAUCUUUAGAUUUUCCACUGCUAUCAUUCCUUGAUUAUAUUCAUCUUGUUUUCUUUCUUCUUCAUUAGAAGUAUACCUAUCUCCUAAAAAUUCUGUCCUUAAGACAUUUUCAAAUCUUUUUAAUAUUUUCUGAAUAUUUUGUUCAUUUAGAGUGUUUCUAUUAUCUAAACUUCAGCUCUAUUUGUUCCAUAUUUUAUUCUUCCUUUAAUAAUUUCUGGUAACUUUCUCCACCAUUCAGAAACAAUUCCUUUGAAUGUAUGUUCUAUAAAUUCAAAAGUUGUAUAAGUUUUCCAUUUAUUAAAUUGUAUUGCUAAAUCUGUAAUUUUCAUCCAUAUUUCAAUAGCUUUAUUUUUAUCUACACGGUCUAAGUCUAACCAUCCUCCUGUUGUGUGGAUUGGUUCAUUGUAGGAUUUAUUUCUUUUAUGGAUUGUUUUCUUACAUUUCCAGUAUAUCUUUUCUGUGUUUUUCUAUAUUGAUUAAUGCCAUCCUUAAGUGGUAUUAUAGUACCAUAAGGAUAAUCUUGUUCUUUAUCACUACUAAAUUCUACUUUUAUAUUCUGACUUGAAGAUGGAUUAGUAUUCAUAUUUGUAUUUUCCAUUUUUUCAGUUAAUUCUUCUAACUGUUUUUUAUAUUCUUCAUACUCUUCACCUGUAGAUUCUAAGAAUUUUUGUUCUAUUUCUUCUACAUCUGUAAUCAUAUAUUGAUUUUCUUCAUAUUUUUUUCCUUUAUUAUUUUCUUUUUGUGUUAUUCUAAAAUCUUGAGGUGGAUUAAUUAUAAUACUAUCUUUUCCUCUAAGAUUUUUAUCUAAUAGAGCAUUUCCUACUUGUAGAUUAUGUUCUAGAUUUUCUAAUCUUUUAUGUAUAUCUCCAAAAUUUUCAUUUGUGGUGUUUUUAGGUAAAUAAGGAUAACUAGAUUUUUUAUGUUUUUCAACUUUUUUCAAAAAUUUCUCAAUUAUAUUUUCUUCAUCUAUUAUAUUCAUCAUAAUUUUUGAUUCGUAACAUGGCUCUGAUACCAUUUCGUCGGAGUGUGCAGUGGAGGGGUUAAUAUUUUUAAACCAGUUAAAAUCUUCGUAAGUAUUUAAAAUAUCACAAUAAAAUUUAUAGAAUUCACUAUUUUUUAUUAAUACUUUUUCUUCAAUGAUUAUAUUUAAUUCUUUAAUUCUUCUUCUCAAGUUAAUAAUUAGUUUAUAUAUAUCAUUUUCUAUUUUGGUUGUAUCAUUAUCUAUAGAAACAUUUUUAUUUUUUAAUUUUGGAUCUAAAUAUUCUGUAAAGAAUUCUCUCAGAUCUUCUUCUAAAUUUUUUAAUUCAUUUUCUGUUGCAUUUUUUAAAUCAAUAAAAUUUUCUAUAAUAUUUGGAUUUAAAUUUAUUAAAGAUUUAUGAUCUAUGUUUCUUUGAGGACCUAUUUGAAGAUUUUUAUACAUUGUGGUGGCUUUAAUUACAAUUUCUCUAUAAGGGGUAUUUUUGGAAAGAUUAUUGUUUGAAAACUAUUUUUCAAAUGUUUUCAUUUCUUAGCCUAAUCUUACAAAUUGUCAUUAUUUUUAGGCUAUUGGAAGGUAUUUCCUCCUAUAAGGCUCCUCUUUGCUGCUAACAAAUUCGAAGAUUCCAAUAUUUC
RNAcentral lists this long non-coding RNA (11407 nucleotides) under Olea europaea subsp. europaea. Lineage: Eukaryota; Viridiplantae; Streptophyta; Magnoliopsida; Lamiales; Oleaceae. The record is from RNAcentral.